This 674-nucleotide ribosomal RNA is filed under the name uncultured bacterium. RNAcentral's name for it is "bacterial SSU rRNA". It matches the Rfam family "Bacterial small subunit ribosomal RNA", at positions 143 to 803 of the family's 1533-position model. The record is from RNAcentral.
AUAACAUUUGGAAACAGAUGCUAAUACCGCAUAACAAUUUGAAUCGCAUGAUUCAAAUUUAAAAGAUGGCUUCGGCUAUCACUUUGGGAUGGACCUGCGGCGCAUUAGCUUGUUGGUAGGGUAACGGCCUACCAAGGCUGUGAUGCGUAGCCGAGUUGAGAGACUGAUCGGCCACAAUGGAACUGAGACACGGUCCAUACUCCUACGGGAGGCAGCAGUAGGGAAUCUUCCACAAUGGGCGCAAGCCUGAUGGAGCAACACCGCGUGAGUGAAGAAGGGUUUCGGCUCGUAAAGCUCUGUUGUUAGAGAAGAACGUGCGUGAGAGCAACUGUUCACGUAGUGACGGUAUCUAACCAGAAAGUCACGGCUAACUACGUGCCAGCAGCCGCGGUAAUACGUAGGUGGCAAGCGUUAUCCGGAUUUAUUGGGCGUAAAGCGAGCGCAGGCGGUUUGAUAAGUCUGAUGUGAAAGCCUUUGGCUUAACCAAAGAAGUGCAUCGGAAACUGUCAGACUUGAGUGCAGAAGAGGACAGUGGAACUCCAUGUGUAGCGGUGGAAUGCGUAGAUAUAUGGAAGAACACCAGUGGCGAAGGCGGCUGUCUGGUCUGCAACUGACGCUGAGGCUCGAAAGCAUGGGUAGCGAACAGGAUUAGAUACCCUGGUAGUCCAUGCCGU